Molecule: transfer RNA, 44 nt
Filed under: Boswellia ameero
Lineage: Eukaryota; Viridiplantae; Streptophyta; Magnoliopsida; Sapindales; Burseraceae
Also listed under: 1 other name
Description: partial tRNA-His
Source: RNAcentral
GAUUCACAAAUCCACUGCCUUCAUCCACUUGGCUACAUCCGCCC